UGAUUUCUCUGUAUUUUCAAUAUUUUUUCAAUUUCAAAUAUUUUCUAUAUUUUUCCUUCUUAUGUUUUGUACAUGAGUUCAUGGAAUCAAUAUUAAUGUGUUUUUAUUUUGAAGGAUAAAUUUAUAAUAUCUAUUAGCCCUAAUACCAAUAUUUGUGUCUGAUUUCAGAAGAAGGGAUUACUAAGAAGACUCUGUUCAGUACAAAGAAUCACAAAGUCAAGGAGAACAACAAUCCCUAUAGGAUUGAUGAGGAUCCACACCAAGACAAAGGAUUUGUUUUGAGGUUCAAGGUAGCAACUUUUUGACAAAUUCAGACAUUGGAUUUCCACAGGUGAAAGGUUUCUACAGGUCCUGUUCACCCUUGAGAAAGGGAUCAAAUCAAGUGGGAAGCCAUCAAAACUAUCUUGGGAUGGAAUGGCCAACCGACUGCUGAUCCACACUUCAUAGAGGCUAUCUUUCCGCCCACUAGGCCAGCCUGGGAUUUUAAUUCUGAUCAAGUUCCACUUGGGACGAUUGUCAGCAGCUUUUGCAGGUCCUUUUCACCCUCGAAGAGCAUGAACACAUCUUCACAGAGGCCUGCAAAAAUGUGCCUAAUGGGGUUGAAGGCCAUCCCACAACCCAGCAACACCUCAUCGAAGAAGCCUUCCCUCUCACUCAUCCCAAUUGGGAUUUUGAACAACCUGAAGGUAGGGAGUGUCUCU
RNAcentral lists this long non-coding RNA (701 nucleotides) under Monodelphis domestica (gray short-tailed opossum). RNAcentral's name for it is "lncRNA (ENSMODG00000039044.1)". The record is from RNAcentral. Lineage: Eukaryota; Metazoa; Chordata; Mammalia; Didelphimorphia; Didelphidae.